GGAAUUGGAGCUGAGAGAUUCUAUAAGCCUUGAUCGCACUCCAUUUACACCAUCACGCCAUGAGAAAUGGAAGAGGGUACAUCAAAGAAAAUACAACAAGUUCACGAGGCUACACGCGAAGUGGCUGAAAAUAUUGUAAGUAAAUACUUUUUUCAACAAUAUUUAUUUUAGUUAAACCAAUUUGGAAAAGAUGAAACUUUAUAUGUGUUGUAGAAUGUACUGGUUGAACAAUCCAAAAUCGUUCUCUUUGUUCCAUAAGAUCGUCAUGACAUCUUGG
Molecule: long non-coding RNA, 277 nt
Filed under: Lathyrus oleraceus (garden pea)
Lineage: Eukaryota; Viridiplantae; Streptophyta; Magnoliopsida; Fabales; Fabaceae
Description: Pisum sativum (pea) long non-coding RNA (PSAT_LNC021828)
Source: RNAcentral